RNAcentral lists this ribosomal RNA (347 nucleotides) under uncultured bacterium. Its description in RNAcentral is "partial 16S ribosomal RNA". It matches the Rfam family "Bacterial small subunit ribosomal RNA", at positions 338 to 682 of the family's 1533-position model. The record is from RNAcentral.
CCUACGGGGGGCAGCAGUGAGGAAUAUUGGUCAAUGGGCGCGAGCCUGAACCAGCCAAGUAGCGUGAAGGAUGACUGCCCUACGGGUUGUAAACUUCUUUUAUAAAGGAAUAAAGUGAGGCACGUGUGCCGUGUUGUAUGUACGUGAUGAAUAAGGAUCGGCUAACUCCGUGCCAGCAGCCGCGGUAAUACGGAGGAUCCGAGCGUUAUCCGGAUUUAGUGGGUUUAAAGGGAGCGUAGAUGGGUUGUUAAGUCAGUGGUGAAAGUUUGCGGCUCACCCGUAAAAUUGCCAUUGAUACUGGCAGUCUUGAGUACAGUUGAGGUAGGCGUACUUCGUGGUGUAGCGGU